This 447-nucleotide ribosomal RNA is filed under the name uncultured bacterium. Its description in RNAcentral is "SSU rRNA". It matches the Rfam family "Bacterial small subunit ribosomal RNA", at positions 26 to 518 of the family's 1533-position model. The record is from RNAcentral.
AGAACGAACGCUGGCGGCAGGCUUAACACAUGCAAGUCGAGCGCGUGUAGCAAUACACGAGCGGCGCACGGGUGAGUAACGCGUGGAUAUCUGCCUUUUGGUUCGGAAUAACCCCGGGAAACUGGGGCUAAUACCGGAUGGUUCCUACGGGAUAAAGAUUUAUCGCCAAAAGAUGAGUCCGCGUCCGAUUAGCUAGUUGGUGAGGUAACGGCUCACCAAGGCGACGAUCGGUAGCUGGUCUGAGAGGACGAUCAGCCACACUGGGACUGAGACACGGCCCAGACUCCUACGGGAGGCAGCAGUGGGGAAUAUUGGACAAUGGGGGCAACCCUGAUCCAGCCAUGCCGCGUGAGUGAUGAAGGCCUUCGGGUUGUAAAGCUCUUUGGCGGGGACGAUGAUGACGGUACCCGCAGAAUAAGCCCCGGCUAACUUCGCGCCAGCAGCCGC